GCUGGCUGUGGUGGCGCACGCCUGUAAUCCCAGCAAUUUGGGAGGCUGAGGCAGGAGGAUCACAAGUUCAAAGCCAGCCUCAGCAACUUAGGUCUUAAGCAACUUAGUGAGACCCUGUCUCAA
RNAcentral lists this small RNA (123 nucleotides) under Marmota monax (woodchuck). Lineage: Eukaryota; Metazoa; Chordata; Mammalia; Rodentia; Sciuridae. The record is from RNAcentral.